CGGCGUGCCUAAUACAUGCAAGUCGAGCCUAAGAUGAGAAGCUUGCCUCUCUGAUGUUAGCGGCGGACGGGUGAGUAACACGUGGGUAACCUACCUAUAAGACUGGGAUAACUCCGGGAAACCGGGGCUAAUACCAGAUAAUACAUUGAACCGCAUGGUUCAAUGUUGAAAGACGGUUUCGGCUGUCACUUAUAGAUGGACCCGCGCCGUAUUAGCUAGUUGGUAAGGUAACGGCUUACCAAGGCAACGAUACGUAGCCGACCUGAGAGGGUGAUCGGCCACACUGGAACUGAGACACGGUCCAGACUCCUACGGGAGGCAGCAGUAGGGAAUCUUCCGCAAUGGGCGAAAGCCUGACGGAGCAACGCCGCGUGAGUGAUGAAGGUCUUAGGAUCGUAAAACUCUGUUGUUAGGGAAGAACAAAUUUGUUAGUAACUGAACAAGUCUUGACGGUACCUAACCAGAAAGCCACGGCUAACUACGUGCCAGCAGCCGCGGUAAUACGUAGGUGGCAAGCGUUAUCCGGAAUUAUUGGGCGUAAAGCGCGCGUAGGCGGUUUCUUAAGUCUGAUGUGAAAGCCCACGGCUCAACCGUGGAGGGUCAUUGGAAACUGGGGAACUUGAGUGCAGAAGAGGAGAGUGGAAUUCCAUGUGUAGCGGUGAAAUGCGCAGAGAUAUGGAGGAACACCAGUGGCGAAGGCGGCUCUCUGGUCUGUAACUGACGCUGAUGUGCGAAAGCGUGGGGAUCAAACAGGAUUAGAUACCCUGGUAGUCCACGCCGUAAACGAUGAGUGCUAAGUGUUAGGGGGUUUCCGCCCCUUAGUGCUGCAGCUAACGCAUUAAGCACUCCGCCUGGGGAGUACGACCGCAAGGUUGAAACUCAAAGGAAUUGACGGGGACCCGCACAAGCGGUGGAGCAUGUGGUUUAAUUCGAAGCAACGCGAAGAACCUUACCAAAUCUUGACAUCCUUUGACCGCUCUAGAGAUAGAGUCUUCCCCUUCGGGGGACAAAGUGACAGGUGGUGCAUGGUUGUCGUCAGCUCGUGUCGUGAGAUGUUGGGUUAAGUCCCGCAACGAGCGCAACCCUUAAGCUUAGUUGCCAUCAUUAAGUUGGGCACUCUAGGUUGACUGCCGGUGACAAACCGGAGGAAGGUGGGGAUGACGUCAAAUCAUCAUGCCCCUUAUGAUUUGGGCUACACACGUGCUACAAUGGAUAAUACAAAGGGCAGCGAACCAGCGAGGUCAAGCAAAUCCCAUAAAAUUAUUCUCAGUUCGGAUUGUAGUCUGCAACUCGACUACAUGAAGCUGGAAUCGCUAGUAAUCGUAGAUCAGCAUGCUACGGUGAAUACGUUCCCGGGUCUUGUACACACCGCCCGUCACACCACGAGAGUUUGUAACACCCGAAGCCGGUGGAGUAACCUUUUAUUAGGAGAUAGCCGUCGAAGGUGGGACAGAUGAUUGGGGUG
RNAcentral lists this ribosomal RNA (1465 nucleotides) under uncultured bacterium. Its description in RNAcentral is "bacterial SSU rRNA". It matches the Rfam family "Bacterial small subunit ribosomal RNA". The record is from RNAcentral.